CCAGUAUCAAACAGAGCCCACUGCCAUCAGGGUUCAUCAGGGUUCUGUGUCCUAAGGAGCUCUGUUGAGAAGGGAAGACAGGCCUGGCAUAGGCAAGGUCUUUGCUCCCAGAAUGCCCUGUUCCAGGGACUCCUUGGGUUGCAUCCCUAGGCCCUAGAACUGGAAGCUGAGGAGGCUAUGGCUCACCUCUCCUUCUGCUGUUCACAGGAGUUCUUUUAUGAUAUCAAACACAGCGACCUGGCCAAAAAGUCCCUGGAUAUCUCAGUGUGGGACUACGACAUUGGCAAAUCGAAUGAUUACAUCGGUGAGUACCAGCUCCUGGGACAACCUCCUCAUCUGGCCUCUCCAGAAGAGGGGAUACCUUGUAGGGCCCCCGGGGAAGGCCACAUUCUUCCAGAAGCUCUUCAGGUUCAGGUCUAACCUGGGGAGAGAGACUCCAGGCAGGGGUGAGGAAGAAACGGAUCCUUUGGGAAGGGACAGUGAAUGCCCAGGAUGUGGAGACAAACACAGAAGAG
This 515-nucleotide long non-coding RNA is filed under the name Rattus norvegicus (Norway rat). RNAcentral describes it as "long non-coding RNA NONRATT007561". The record is from RNAcentral. Lineage: Eukaryota; Metazoa; Chordata; Mammalia; Rodentia; Muridae.